GCCAAUGUUUCCACGUGUACUGAGCCUCUGCCCUAUCCAUGAAGGGACCCCAUUGAAGUUGAUCACUCCAUGCCAUUGUUGGAAGAAUUCCUCCAGCUGUGGACAUGUUACUUUGCAUGGCUGUCUAACGGAAACCACGAUGUUGCAUUUUAGCUGAGUUCCAGGACCAAAAUACAAAAAAUACAAGACCAUCCAGAUCUUUGGGAAUUUUCCGCAGGAAUACUUUUUGGUGUACGAAUUGCUGGUCAGUGUCCAUCUUGAAUGUUCUCUGCCUGUGCUUUGUUGAAGUUGGCAUUGUAUGUUCUCUAAUGCCAAGACGCUGAUAUAAUCGUCAUCUUCUCCCAUUAUUUUAUGGGGUCGCUGAAUGCAUAAGGUAAGAAAGGUUCUGCUGAGAGUGCUUGGGUUGUCGAUGGCCGUUCCUCAAACUAAUGAAAUUCGCUUACCCAAUUUUCCUU
Long non-coding RNA from Syzygium oleosum, 455 nucleotides. RefSeq lists it as uncharacterized. Lineage: Eukaryota; Viridiplantae; Streptophyta; Magnoliopsida; Myrtales; Myrtaceae. The transcript has 2 exons. The record is from RefSeq and is a predicted model, not a curated record.